Molecule: unclassified non-coding RNA, 634 nt
Filed under: Hevea brasiliensis (rubber tree)
Lineage: Eukaryota; Viridiplantae; Streptophyta; Magnoliopsida; Malpighiales; Euphorbiaceae
Source: RNAcentral
CGCAACUCCGUCUCUUUUGUUCUUCGAAGCUGCUCUUCCAUUUUCAAUUUUUUCACCUUUGCUUCUUCUCCACUCUCGAUCUUCAUGCUCUCCCUGUUUUUUGAUCUCUCUGUUCUUUCCAAUUAGGGUUUCAAGCUUCAGCUAUCUCGCCAGUUAUUACUCGAAUCUCAAGCUGUUUUUUGGUUUCUUUUCCCCUUUUAUUUUUGAAUAAGACCUAGAUUUCUGCCCACUCUUUUAGGGUCUACAGAUCUACGCAGCUCCUGCUUCUACCUCUGCUGAAUCUCUCCUCUCUUUAAAGAUGUUUUGGAAGCUCACGGCUCUUUCUGCCUCCUCUCCUGUGGAGUCAAUACUAGACAAGGAAAAUUUCACAUUGGAAGAGCUUUUGGACGAGGAAGAAAUAAUCCAAGAAUGCAAAGCUUUAAACAGUCGUCUCAUCAAUUUUAUACGAGAUAGAGCCCACGUAGAGCAGUUAUUGCGGUAUAUUAUUGAAGAACCUCCUGAGGAUGCUGAAAGCAAACGCACCUUCAAGUUUCCCUUCAUUGCCUGUGAGAUAUUUACAUGUGAAAUUGAUGUAAUUCUUAAGACUUUAGCGGAGGAAGAGGAGUUAAUGAACUUACUCUUCUCUUUCUUGGAA